GCCACACACCUCAUUCUUAUCAAGAAAAGUCUAGAAAAGAAGAGAAGAGGAGAGAAAGGAAGAGAAGAAACUAGAGAAACUAGAUAGAGAAAGCUACGAAUUUGAGAGAAAAAGAGGUAAGUUCUUCGAUUCCGUUUCAUGAAUUAAUUAUCUAGGGUAUACCAUGAUGUUAUGAAGGUAUUUUUAACGAAAUUUAAUGGUUUGGAGUAGCCCAAAAUGUUACCAAACAGCCCCAAAGUUUCAGCUGUGCUAACGGAACUUCCGAGGCGAGUUUCGGCUAAGCACGAGCAUCAGGUGAUUUUUUCCUCGCUGCAUGAUGAUUGAUGAUUGGCUUAUGAUCAACAACAGACUAUUUUUUAGUGUGCUUCGGAGGACGAGUCUUCGCAGGUUGUAAGAAAGUAGCACUACGUCACGAGUAUCAGGUGAUUUUCUCCUCGCUGCAAGAUGAUUGAUGAUUGGCUUAUGAACAACAAUAAAUUAUUUUUUAUUAUGCUACGGAGGAUGAGUCUUCGCUGGUUGUAAGGCAGUAGCACUAUGUAUGAGUGGUCUUUUUAAAUCUUAUUGUGGAAGGGAUUCAUUUGGAGUAUUCUUUGAUAUAACAGGCAAUCAUCCUAGACUUCCUCUUCACAAGUGAGGAACCAGAAUCAGAUACAACUUUCUCUUUUCCCUUAUUGUUGUUUGAUUUUGAUGGUUGGUCUUGAAAAUCAUCAUCUGAAUCGGGUGCUUGGAUAGCAUCGUCUGGUUCAAUCCUUGAAAAUGGUGGUGAGGGAGUUGUAUCUGAUUGGACAUAUUUAGGGGGUAGUGAAAUGAUUGCAAUUUUCAUGGGGGUUGGUGUUAUGUUUUGAAAAGUGAUCUCCAACAUAUACAAAUUUAAUUGUAUAAUCUGCAAGAUAACUUAUUUGAAUAACUAUGAAAUAGAUAUUGAAUAAUCAGUUAUACAAUUUGGACCCCUAUUACAUGUAAAUUAUAUAUAGGCUAUU
Solanum dulcamara is the source of this 980-nucleotide long non-coding RNA. RefSeq lists it as uncharacterized. The transcript is spliced from 3 exons. NCBI's taxonomy places the organism in Eukaryota, Viridiplantae, Streptophyta, Magnoliopsida, Solanales, Solanaceae. The record is from RefSeq and is a predicted model, not a curated record.